ACUCGAGACCAAUCCGCUUCUCCCUGAUUGAAUGCUACAGAUGACUCCUCUGUUUAGAAUGCCCGGGUAAUCUAUCUAUCUAUCUAUCAUGUAUAAUGCUUCCUGAUUUCAAUGAACGGUGCUUCAAAGACCUGACCGGUUACAUAUUGCUCUGCCUAUGUUGUUCCAUGCUUAAGCUCGAACAGAUGGAGGCUGAGUGAACGUAACUGGAAUUGCAGAAGAAACAACCCAUUUCAGUCCUGUCGAUUGGUUGGAUCUUUGAGGGUAAAAACACCUGCUUUGAAAAAUCAACUGAUGCCACCCUAAUGAAAAUGGAAAAAAACUGUAAAUUAAUUUUCUAA
Molecule: long non-coding RNA, 341 nt
Organism: Anguilla anguilla (European eel)
Lineage: Eukaryota; Metazoa; Chordata; Actinopteri; Anguilliformes; Anguillidae
Exons: 3
Source: RefSeq, a predicted model, not a curated record